UGGGGAAUUUUGGACAAUGGGCGAAAGCCUGAUCCAGCAAUGCCGCGUGUGUGAAGAAGGCCUUCGGGUUGUAAAGCACUUUUGUCCGGAAAGAAAUCCUUGGCUCUAAUACAGUCGGGGGAUGACGGUACCGGAAGAAUAAGCACCGGCUAACUACGUGCCAGCAGCCGCGGUAAUACGUAGGGUGCAAGCGUUAAUCGGAAUUACUGGGCGUAAAGCGUGCGCAGGCGGUUUGCUAAGACCGAUGUGAAAUCCCCGGGCUCAACCUGGGAACUGCAUUGGUGACUGGCAGGCUAGAGUAUGGCAGAGGGGGGUAGAAUUCCACGUGUAGCAGUGAAAUGCGUAGAGAUGUGGAGGAAUACCGAUGGCGAAGGCAGCCCCCUGGGCCAAUACUGACGCUCAUGCACGAAAGCGUGGGGAGCAAAACAGGAUUAGAUACCCUGGUAGUCCACGCCCUAAACGAUGUCAACUAGUUGUGGGGAUUCAUUCCUUAGUAACGUAGCUAACGCGUGAAGUUGACCGCCUGGGGAGUACGGUCGCAAGAUUAAAACUCAAAUGAAUUGACGGGGUCAUAGCUGUUUCCU
Molecule: ribosomal RNA, 584 nt
Filed under: uncultured bacterium
Lineage: Bacteria
Description: partial 16S ribosomal RNA
Rfam family: Bacterial small subunit ribosomal RNA
Source: RNAcentral